This 303-nucleotide ribosomal RNA is filed under the name uncultured fungus. RNAcentral's name for it is "eukaryotic LSU rRNA". The stretch from base 1 to 98 matches the Rfam family "5.8S ribosomal RNA", at positions 47 to 154 of the family's 154-position model. The record is from RNAcentral. Lineage: Eukaryota; Fungi.
AGUCAAGUGCGAUAUUUAGUGCGAUUUGCACGAUCUGUGAGUCAUCGAGUCUUUGAACGCAACUUGCGCCCUUCUGGGGCAUGUCUGUUUGAGCAUCAAUAACCAAAUGCAAGCUUAUUGCGAGGUGCUAGUCCAGUAUGGUCUGGUGGAAUGUAGAAAAUAUAUCAUGUGUUGGAUGGUGACUUGAAGCCAGAGACGCGCAAGUCUAAAGACGCAAGUCCUUAUUCAAGUGUCUUGUUCAAGUCUCCAACUCCUAACACACUAAUCGAUCUCAAAUCAGGCAAGAUUACCCGCUGAACUUAA